GGCCCUGUAACUCAAUGGCUUAGAGUGCUAUCCUCCGGAGAUAGAAGUUCCAGGUUCGAGUCCUGGCAGGGUCG
This 74-nucleotide transfer RNA is filed under the name Metarhizium rileyi. RNAcentral's name for it is "tRNA-Arg". It matches the Rfam family "tRNA". From Rfam's summary of the family: Transfer RNA (tRNA) molecules are approximately 80 nucleotides in length. The record is from RNAcentral. Lineage: Eukaryota; Fungi; Ascomycota; Sordariomycetes; Hypocreales; Clavicipitaceae.